UACGUAGGGGCAAGCGUUGUCCGGAUUUAUUGGGCGUAAAGCGCGUGUAGGCGGUUCGGUAAGUCCGCUGUGAAAGUCGGGGCUCAACCCUCGGAUGCCGGUGGAUACUGUCGAGCUUGAGUACGGAAGAGGCGAGUGGAAUUCCUGGUGUAGCGGUGAAAUGCGCAGGAUAUCAGGAGGAACACCUGUGGUGUAGACAGCUUACUGGACCACUCUGACGCUGAGACACGAAGCGUGGGUAGCAAACAGG
This 250-nucleotide ribosomal RNA is filed under the name uncultured bacterium. Its description in RNAcentral is "partial 16S ribosomal RNA". It matches the Rfam family "Bacterial small subunit ribosomal RNA", at positions 524 to 776 of the family's 1533-position model. The record is from RNAcentral.